GUGGGGAAUAUUGGACAAUGGGGGGAACCCUGAUCCAGCCAUGCCGCGUGUGUGAAGAAGGCCUUUUGGUUGUAAAGCACUUUAAGCGAGGAGGAGGCUACUCUAGUUAAUACCUAGGGAUAGUGGACGUUACUCGCAGAAUAAGCACCGGCUAACUCUGUGCCAGCAGCCGCGGUAAUACAGAGGGUGCGAGCGUUAAUCGGAUUUACUGGGCGUAAAGCGUGCGUAGGCGGCUUUUUAAGUCGGAUGUGAAAUCCCUGAGCUUAACUUAGGAAUUGCAUUCGAUACUGGGAAGCUAGAGUAUGGGAGAGGAUGGUAGAAUUCCAGGUGUAGCGGUGAAAUGCGUAGAGAUCUGGAGGAAUACCGAUGGCGAAGGCAGCCAUCUGGCCUAAUACUGACGCUGAGGUACGAAAGCAUGGGGAGCAAACAGGAUUAGAAACCCCGGUAGUCC
This 451-nucleotide ribosomal RNA is filed under the name uncultured bacterium. Its description in RNAcentral is "partial 16S ribosomal RNA". It matches the Rfam family "Bacterial small subunit ribosomal RNA", at positions 354 to 796 of the family's 1533-position model. The record is from RNAcentral.